UAGAGUGACAGACAAAACAAGCAAAUGGACACACCAAGACACCAACUGGUUUCUAAAGGUUUCAUCUGGUUACAUCAAAGAUGCAGUAGUUACAUUCAAAAUGUUUAGUGGCUUGCUGAGAUUGAACAUCUUUUCAUAAAUGCAAUAUUAUACAUAUAUAUUUUCUAUUUGUAAAGCUCACUCUAGCUGUGACAAGAUGAUAAAUGCACAGUGGGAGGGUAC
Molecule: long non-coding RNA, 222 nt
Filed under: Homo sapiens (human)
Lineage: Eukaryota; Metazoa; Chordata; Mammalia; Primates; Hominidae
Description: HSALNT0121116
Source: RNAcentral